RNAcentral lists this ribosomal RNA (470 nucleotides) under uncultured bacterium. Its description in RNAcentral is "bacterial SSU rRNA". It matches the Rfam family "Bacterial small subunit ribosomal RNA", at positions 29 to 490 of the family's 1533-position model. The record is from RNAcentral.
AUUGAACGCUGGCGGCAUGCUUUACACAUGCAAGUCGAACGGCAGCACGGGGGCAACCCUGGUGGCGAGUGGCGAACGGGUGAGUAACACAUCGGAACGUGCCCAGUUGUGGGGGAUAACCUAUCGAAAGGUAGGCUAAUACCGCAUGAGCUCGGCGAGAGGAAAGCGGGGGACCCAGCGAUGGGCCUCGCGCGACUGGAGCGGCCGAUGUCCGAUUAGCUAGUGGUGGGGUAAAGGCUUACCAAGGCGACGAUCGGUAGCUGGUCUGAGAGGAUGAUCAGCCACACUGGGACUGAGACACGGCCCAGACUCCUACGGGAGGCAGCAGUGGGGAAUUUUGGACAAUGGGGCAACCCUGAUCCAGCCAUGCCGCGUGAGUGAAGAAGGCCCUCGGGUUGUAAAGCUCUUUCGGUGGGAACGAAACGGGUACGGUGAAUAGCCGUGCUCAAUGACGGCACUCACAGAAGAAG